Molecule: small RNA, 132 nt
Filed under: Klebsiella pneumoniae
Lineage: Bacteria; Pseudomonadati; Pseudomonadota; Gammaproteobacteria; Enterobacterales; Enterobacteriaceae
Also listed under: 1 other name
Description: RtT sRNA
Rfam family: RtT RNA
About the family: This family represents a bacterial cis-regulatory element known as RtT RNA. The exact function of RtT is unknown although it is thought that it may be involved in changing the cellular response in relation to amino acid starvation.
Source: RNAcentral
UAUUCUGCCCUACAGGGAAGGAUGAGAAGCUUCGACUAAAGUUCGACUCGAGCGAAGCGAGAGAACGUUGCCGCAGGCAACGGCCCGAAGGGCGAGUCGCUUUAGCGCCGAGUAAUCCUUCCCCCACCACCA